GAUGAACGCUGGCGGCGUGCCUAAUACAUGCAAGUCGAGCGAACAGACGAGGAGCUUGCUCCUCUGACGUUAGCGGCGGACGGGUGAGUAACACGUGGAUAACCUACCUAUAAGACUGGGAUAACUUCGGGAAACCGGAGCUAAUACCGGAUAAUAUAUUGAACCGCAUGGUUCAAUAGUGAAAGACGGUUUUGCUGUCACUUCUAGAUGGAUCCGCGCCGCAUUAGCUAGUUGGUAAGGUAACGGCUUACCAAGGCAACGAUGCGUAGCCGACCUGAGAGGGUGAUCGGCCACACUGGAACUGAGACACGGUCCAGACUCCUACGGGAGGCAGCAGUAGGGAAUCUGCCGCAAUGGGCGAAAGCUUGACGGAGAAACGCCGCGUGAGUGAUGAAGGUCUUCGGAUCGUAAAACUCUGUUAUUAGGGAAGAACAAAUGUGUAAGUAACUAUGCACGUCUUGAAGGUACCUAAUCAGAAAGCCACGGCUAACUACGUG
RNAcentral lists this ribosomal RNA (497 nucleotides) under uncultured bacterium. RNAcentral describes it as "partial 16S ribosomal RNA". It matches the Rfam family "Bacterial small subunit ribosomal RNA", at positions 28 to 507 of the family's 1533-position model. The record is from RNAcentral.